AGCAGAGAUGCUUUAGUGCCUUCGGGAACUCUGAGACAGGUGCUGCAUGGCUGUCGUCAGCUCGUGUUGUGAAAUGUUGGGUUAAGUCCCGCAACGAGCGCAACCCUUAUCCUUUGUUGCCAGCACGUAAUGGUGGGAACUCAAAGGAGACUGCCGGUGAUAAACCGGAGGAAGGUGGGGAUGACGUCAAGUCAUCAUGGCCCUUACGAGUAGGGCUACACACGUGCUACAAUGGCGCAUACAAAGAGAAGCGACCUCGCGAGAGCAAGCGGACCUCAUAAAAGUGCGUCGUAGUCCGGAUUGGAGUCUGCAACUCGACUCCAUGAAGUCGGAAUCGCUAGUAAUCGUAAAUCAGAAUGUUACGGUGAAUACGUUCCCGGGCCUUGUACACACCGCCCGUCACACCAUGGGAGUGGGUUGCAAAAGAAGUAGAUAGCUUAACCUUCGGGAGGGCGUUUACCACUUUGUGAUUCAUGACUGGGGUGAAGUCGUAACAAGGUAAGCGUAGUGCU
This 512-nucleotide ribosomal RNA is filed under the name uncultured bacterium. RNAcentral describes it as "bacterial SSU rRNA". It matches the Rfam family "Bacterial small subunit ribosomal RNA", at positions 999 to 1509 of the family's 1533-position model. The record is from RNAcentral.